RNAcentral lists this ribosomal RNA (468 nucleotides) under uncultured bacterium. RNAcentral describes it as "partial 16S ribosomal RNA". It matches the Rfam family "Bacterial small subunit ribosomal RNA", at positions 28 to 507 of the family's 1533-position model. The record is from RNAcentral.
GACGAACGCUGGCGGCGUGCUUAACACAUGCAAGUCGAACGGAAAGGCCCUGCUUUUGUGGGGUGCGCGAGUGGCGAACGGGUGAGUCACACGAGUGUAACCUGCCCUUGACUUUGGGAUAACUUCAGGAAACUGGGGAUAAUACCGGAUAGGAGCUCCUGCUGCAUGGUGGGGGUGGGAAAGUUUCGGCGGUUGGGGAUGGUCUCGCGGCUUAUCAGCUUGUGGGUGGGGGAGUGGCUUACCAGGGCUUUGACGGGUAGCCGGCCUGAGAGGGUGACCGGCCACAUUGGGACGGGGAUACGGCCCGGACUCCUACGGGAGGCAGCAGUGGGGAAUAUUGCACAAUGGGCGGAGGCCUGAUGCAGCAACGCCGCGUGCGGGAUGACGGCCUUCGGGUUGUAAACCGCUUUCGCCUGUGACGAGGCGUGAGUGACGGUAAUGGGUAAAGAAGCACCGGCUAACUACGUG